RNAcentral lists this unclassified non-coding RNA (263 nucleotides) under plant metagenome. RNAcentral describes it as "partial contains small subunit ribosomal RNA, internal transcribed spacer 1, and 5.8S ribosomal RNA". The record is from RNAcentral.
UUUCCGUAGGUGAACCUGCGGAAGGAUCAUUAUUGUAUAACCGAGGUGCGAGGGCUGUCGCUGACCCGAAAGGUCGUGCACGCCCGAGUGCCCUCACACACAUCCAUCUCACCCCUAUGGGCACCACCGCGUGGGUCCCCCUUUGGCUUGUUCGGAGGGGGGCUUACGGCUGCACACAAACUUUGUAUGCAGUGUAGAAUGUAUUUUUUGUUUUUGCGAUCACGCAAUCAAUACAACUUUCAACAACGGAUCUCUUGGCUCUC